GCAGAGCAUCCUACGGGAGGCAGCAGUGGGGAAUAUUGCACAAUGGGCGCAAGCCUGAUGCAGCCAUGCCGCGUGUAUGAAGAAGGCCUUCGGGUUGUAAAGUACUUUCAGCAGUGAGGAAGGUGGGUAUGUUAAUAGCAUACUCAUUUGACGUUAGCUGCAGAAGAAGCACCGGCUAACUCCGUGCCAGCAGCCGCGGUAAUGCGGAGGGUGCGAGCGUUAAUCGGAAUUACUGGGCGUAAAGCGCAUGCAGGUGGUUUGUUAAGUCAGAUGUGAAAGCCCGGGGCUCAACCUCGGAAUUGCAUUUGAAACUGGCAAACUAGAGUACUGUAGAGGGGGUAGAAUUUCAGGUGUAGCGGUGAAAUGCGUAGAGAUCUGAAGGAAUACCGGUGGCGAAGGCGGCCCCCUGGACAGAUACUGACACUCAGAUGCGAAAGCGUGGGGAGCAAACAGGAUUAGAUACCCUGGUAG
This 471-nucleotide ribosomal RNA is filed under the name uncultured bacterium. RNAcentral describes it as "bacterial SSU rRNA". It matches the Rfam family "Bacterial small subunit ribosomal RNA", at positions 329 to 793 of the family's 1533-position model. The record is from RNAcentral.